GUGUCAGCAGCCGCGGUAAAACGUAGGAGACAAACGUUAUCCGGAGUUACUGGGCGUAAAGGGCGUGCAGGCGGUCUGUUAAGUCUGGCGUGAAAGCUCGCGGCUAAACCGCGAGAGGUCGUUGGAUACUGACGGACUAGAGGACGGUAGAGGCGUGUGGAAUUCCGGGUGUAGUGGUGAAAUGCGUAGAGAUCCGGAGGAACACCAGUGGCGAAGGCGACACGCUGGGCCGUACCUGACGCUAAAACGCGACAGCAUGGGGAGCGAACGGGAUUAGAAACCCGUGUAGUCC
RNAcentral lists this ribosomal RNA (292 nucleotides) under uncultured bacterium. RNAcentral's name for it is "partial 16S ribosomal RNA". It matches the Rfam family "Bacterial small subunit ribosomal RNA", at positions 505 to 796 of the family's 1533-position model. The record is from RNAcentral.